UACAGAGACUGCAAGCGUUAUUCGGAUUCACUGGGCGUAAAGGGUGCGCAGGCGGCCGAGUGUGUGAGGCGUGAAAGCCCGGAGCUUAACUCCGGAAUUGCACCUCAAACUACACGGCUAGAGCAUUGGAGAGGGUAGCAGAAUUCACGGUGUAGCAGUGAAAUGCGUAGAUAUCAAGUGGAACACCAGUGGCGAAGGCGAGUCUCUGGACAUUUCCUGACGCUGAGGCACGAAAGCCAGGGGAGCAAACGGG
Molecule: ribosomal RNA, 253 nt
Filed under: uncultured bacterium
Lineage: Bacteria
Description: partial 16S ribosomal RNA
Rfam family: Bacterial small subunit ribosomal RNA
Source: RNAcentral